RNAcentral lists this unclassified non-coding RNA (215 nucleotides) under Hevea brasiliensis (rubber tree). Lineage: Eukaryota; Viridiplantae; Streptophyta; Magnoliopsida; Malpighiales; Euphorbiaceae. The record is from RNAcentral.
GCCUUUUUGAUAUUACCACUGAAACGGUUCGAUCUCUUAUACUUACAUAUUUUCAUUUUUCUUGAAAUCUGAUCUCCUGUUUGUUUGUAUGCUGAGAAAAGUAGAGGAAAUAAGAAAAGAAACGACUUUUAUUAGCCUUUAUUAUUGAUUUAUUUAAUGCGAGGAAAUUGAUUCAAAUCUAGGUGAAUAGUUUAGUAUGGAUCGGCUGAUCUGAG